AAAGAAUUAUCGGUUAUCGGUAUCGGCCAAAAUUUUCAUAUCGGUGCAUCCCUAGUAAAUACUUACAUUAUACAAUGGGUGUACCCCAAGGUUCAGUGCUAGGUCUCUUAUUAUUUACUCUGUACCAAAUUAUCACUAUUAUGGGAUCUUAGAAGAUUUUUUGACAAUUUACGUCUAUUGUAAUCAAUUUACAUCUAUCGGUCUUGUUAAAUUGAAGCUGAAAUCAUUUUAAAAAUCAUCAAGUGUGUGUGUGCUCAUGCGUGCAUACGUGCGUGUGUCUUUAAGUCUGUGUCGUGACUCGUGAGCAGAAAUGGAUAGAUGUGGGAGCGUUCUGAGAUGCAGGAAAAGGUAAACUGAUAAACUUAACCUAUUAUUUGUAUAAGUAUUAACUUUAAACUGAUUAACAUUUACAAUGGUUAACUUUGGUUCAACUUUGCAUUUCAGGGCCUGACAUUAACGCUCGUUUGCUUGUCCGGGACAGCAGGAUCGGUCGUGUCUGUAAACACAUAUUCCCACUUGGUUUCCACUGCUGCGAUGAAGAACUCCAGAGUCUUCGCCAGGACACCGGACGAGUUCAGACACACUGCGAGGAAGAGGAGGAACGACGGCACAGCCUUCAUCACUGGAGCUCAAGUUAGACACACGCUGGCUGAAUGUGAUGCUGUCAAGACACAUAUAACAGAGAAGUGUUGAGGGAGGAGCUAAAGAGAGAGACGUUUAUGAAAAUCUUGAUGAGUAAUAAUGAGGUUUUGAGUCAUGAAGAGUGAUGUAAGACGAGAAAGGAUGAUGGAUUGCUGUGUUUGGGGUUUUAUAAAUUCCUAUUUUUACCCCAUGAAAAGCAGCAAUAUCACUACAGAAUUUCUUACUUUCAUUAUCACUGGAUUUACAGCCGAGGUUCUUCAUUUUUCUUCGCCCAGGAACAACAACAUUUAGUUUUUAUCUGAAACACACUUUUAGAAAACCAUACAUCUGUGCUUUUUGGCUAAAAACAACUCCAACAUUGGAAAAUACUGAUAUUGUUAAUGAAAUAUCUAUUUUAAAUCGAAUUAAACCUUUACAUAAACAACCGGAGAUUGUGGCAAAAUAAUUCUUUGAAAUAUAGAUGCAAGAUUGGUCUUGUUUUAAAGAAGGCAUUUGGCAGAUUUUUGUAGAAGUGAAAAAAAAUUAA
Molecule: non-coding RNA, 1168 nt
Organism: Pimephales promelas (fathead minnow)
Lineage: Eukaryota; Metazoa; Chordata; Actinopteri; Cypriniformes; Leuciscidae
Source: RefSeq, a predicted model, not a curated record